UCACUUGUUUAUCAAAAACAUGUCUUUUUGAAUAUUAAUUUAAGGUCUAACCUGCCCACUGAAAAUUUUGAAGGGCCGCAGUAUUCUGACUGUGCAAAGGUAGCAUAAUCAUUUGCCUUUUAAUUAAAGGCUAGAAUGAAUGGUUGAACGAGGUGUAUACUGUCUCAUUUUUAUAAUUUAAUAAUUUAGCUUUUCAGUUAAAAGGCUGAAAUGUUAUUAGAGGACGAGAAGACCCUAUAGAACUUUAUAAAUUUAUUUAUAGAUAAUAUUAGUAUAAAAUAUUUUUUUAUAUUUUAGUUUUAUUUUGUUGGGGUGACAGGAAGAUUAAGUUAACUCUUUUGAAAUUUAAACAUUGAUUUAUGAAUUUUUGAUCCAUUUUUAAUGAUUAUUAAAAUAAGUUACCUUAGGGAUAACAGCGUAAUUUUAUUGGAGAGUUCAUAUCGAUAAUAAAGUUUGCGACCUCGAUGUUGAAUUAAAGAAAUUCUUGAGUGUAGCAGCUUGAGAUAAUAGGUCUGUUCGACCUUUAAAUCUUU
RNAcentral lists this ribosomal RNA (533 nucleotides) under Mesonemurus guentheri. RNAcentral's name for it is "partial 16S ribosomal RNA". It matches the Rfam family "Bacterial large subunit ribosomal RNA", at positions 1796 to 2597 of the family's 2925-position model. The record is from RNAcentral. Lineage: Eukaryota; Metazoa; Arthropoda; Insecta; Neuroptera; Myrmeleontidae.